This 253-nucleotide ribosomal RNA is filed under the name uncultured bacterium. RNAcentral describes it as "partial 16S ribosomal RNA". It matches the Rfam family "Bacterial small subunit ribosomal RNA", at positions 524 to 776 of the family's 1533-position model. The record is from RNAcentral.
UACAGAGGGUGCAAGCGUUGUUCGGAAUCACUGGGCGUAAAGCGCGCGCAGGCGGAUGGUUGCGUCCGGAGUGAAAUUUCGCCGCUCAACGGCGAAGCUGCUUUGGAUACGGACCGUCUAGGGACCGGUAGAGGCUGGUAGAAUUCCAGGUGUAGCGGUGAAAUGCGUAGAUAUCUGGAGGAACACCGGUGGCGAAGGCGGCGUCCUGGACCGUAACUGACGCUGAGGAGCGAAAGCGUGGGGAGCGAACAGG